CCAAGCUACUAAGAGCAUACGGUGGAUGCCUAGGCGCCAGGAGCCGAUGAAGGACGUGGCAGGCUGCGAUAAGCUUCGGGGAGCCGCCUAACAGGCUUUGAUCCGGAGAUCUCCGAAUGGGGGAACCCACCGGUGGUAAUGCGCCGGUACCCACGCCUGAACACAUAGGGCGUGAGGAGGCAAGCGGGGGAACUGAAACAUCUAAGUACCCCGAGGAAAAGAAAGCAAUCGCGAUUCCCUGAGUAGCGGCGAGCGAAACGGGAACAGCCCAAACCCGGCGGAUGCGAUAGCCCGCAGGCGUUGUCCGUCGGGGGUUGUAGGACCCUCCAGGUGUCGCUGCGGAGGCACCGGGGAGUUACAAAGUCCGUCUCUAGUCGAAUGGUUCUGGAAAGUCCAGCCACAGAGGGUAACAGCCCCGUAGGCGAAAGGGGCGGACCUCCCGGAGGGGAUCCUGAGUACGGCGGGACCGGGGAAAUCCCGUCGGAAUCCGCGGGCACCACCCCGCAAGGCUAAAUACUCCCUGGCGACCGAUAGUGGACUAGUACCGUGAGGGAAAGGUGAAAAGUACCCCGGGAGGGGAGUGAAAUAGUACCUGAAACCGUAUGCUUACAAACCGUCAGAGCGGCGUCAAAGCCGUGAUGGCGUGCUUUUUGUAGAAUGAGCCGGCGAGUUACCGGUACGCAGCGAGGUUAAGGGAGAUACCCGGAGCCGUAGCGAAAGCGAGUCUGAACAGGGCGAUUCAGUUGCGUGCCGUAAACCCGAAGCCGAGUGAUCUACCCAUGGGCAGGUUGAAGCGAGGGUAAGACCUCGUGGAGGACCGAACCCACUUCGGUUGAAAACGGAGGGGAUGACCUGUGGGUAGGGGUGAAAGGCCAAUCAAACUCGGAGAUAGCUGGUUCUCCCCGAAAUAGCUUUUGGGCUAGCCUCGGGUGUUUAGUGUUGGUGGUAGAGCACUGAUUGGACUAGGGGCCUUCACCGGUUACCAAACCCAGUCAAACUCCGAAUGCCAGUACUUGAGAGCCCGGGAGUCAGACCGUGGGGGAUAAGCUCCAUGGUCGAGAGGGAAACAGCCCAGACCGCCAGCUAAGGUCCCUAAUUCGGGCUAAGUGGGAAAGGAUGUGAGACUGCACAGACAGCCAGGAUGUUGGCUUAGAAGCAGCCACCAUUUAAAGAGUGCGUAAUAGCUCACUGGUCAAGUGGUUUCGCGCCGAUAAUGUAACGGGGCUCAAGCCCGAUACCGAAGCUGCGGCAUUGCGCCUACGGGCGUGAUGGGUAGGGGAGCAUUCCCUGGGGAGCGAAGUCGACCCGAAAGGGUUUCCCGUAUGGGAUUAAUCGAUGGACCGCAGGGAAGAGAGAAUGCCGGCAUGAGUAGCGAAAGACGGGUGAGAAACCCGUCCGCCGAAUGCCCAAGGGUUCCUGGGGAAGGUUAAUCCGCCCAGGGUUAGUCGGGACCUAAGGCGAGGCCGAGAGGCGUAGUCGAUGGACAACCGGUUUAUAUUCCGGUACCACCAGUCAGCGCUUGACCGAUUGGGGGGACGCGGAAGGAUAAGCGAACCGCGGCGAUGGUCGACCGCGGGCAAGCGUGUAGGGCGCUGCCGAGUCAAAUGCUUGGCGGCAUACAAGCCUGAGGCGUGAUGCCGACCCGCCUAUAGGGGAAGUCGCCGAAUCCAUGCCGCCGAGAAAAGCCCCUAGGGAGCUGCCUGGUGCCCGUACCCCAAACCGACACAGGUGGGCGAGUAGAGAAUACUAAGGCGAUCGAGAGAACCCUCGUUAAGGAACUCGGCAAAUUGGCCCCGUAACUUCGGGAGAAGGGGCACCCCGCUAGCGUGACGGGACUCGCUCCCUGAGCGCGAGGGGGUCGCAGUGAACAGGCCCAAGCGACUGUUUACUAAAAACACAGGUCUCUGCUAAGUCGUAAGACGACGUAUAGGGGCUGACGCCUGCCCGGUGCCGGAAGGUUAAGGGGAAGGGUUAGCGGCCGGCUUCGGCCGGUGCGCGAAGCUCCGAACUUAAGCCCCGGUGAACGGCGGCCGUAACUAUAACGGUCCUAAGGUAGCGAAAUUCCUUGUCGGGUAAGUUCCGACCUGCACGAAUGGCGUAACGACUUGGGCGCUGUCUCAACGAGGGACUCGGCGAAAUUGCAUUGCCCGUGAAGAUGCGGGCUACCUGCAGCAGGACGGAAAGACCCCGUGAACCUUUACUGCAGCCUGAUAUUGGGUUCUGGUUCAUCAUGUGCAGGAUAGGUGGGAGGCUGUGAAGCGGGGACGCCAGUUCCCGUGGAGCCGUCCUUGGGAUACCACUCUUGGUGUGCUGGGGCUCUAACCGGCAGCCGUUAUCCGGUUGCGGGACAGUGUCAGGUGGGCAGUUUGACUGGGGCGGUCGCCUCCUAAAAGGUAACGGAGGCGCCCAAAGGUUCCCUCAAGCUGGUCGGCAAUCAGCUGUAGAGUGUAAGGGCAGAAGGGAGCUUGACUGCGAGACCCACAAGUCGAGCAGGUGCGAAAGCAGGGCCUAGUGAUCCGGCGGCAUCAUGUGGGAGAGCCGUCGCUCAACGGAUAAAAGGUACUCCGGGGAUAACAGGCUUAUCUCCCCCAAGAGUCCACAUCGACGGGGAGGUUUGGCACCUCGAUGUCGGCUCAUCGCAUCCUGGGGCUGGAGUAGGUCCCAAGGGUUGGGCUGUUCGCCCAUUAAAGCGGUACGCGAGCUGGGUUUAGAACGUCGUGAGACAGUUCGGUCCCUAUCCGCUGCAGGCGUAGGAGAAUUGAGGGGAGUUGCCCCUAGUACGAGAGGACCGGGGUGAACGGACCUCUGGUGUGCCAGUUGUCCCGCCAGGGGCACGGCUGGUUAGCUACGUCCGGAUCGGAUAACCGCUGAAAGCAUCUAAGCGGGAAGCCGACCCCAAGAUCAGUUCUCCCACCGGGUAAACCGGGUAAGACCCCUCGUAGAUGACGAGGUUGAUAGGCCGGAUGUGGAAGCGCGGCAACGCGUGGAGCUGACCGGUACUAAUAGGUCGAGGGCUUGGUCUUAAACC
RNAcentral lists this ribosomal RNA (3028 nucleotides) under Actinomycetota bacterium. RNAcentral's name for it is "Actinobacteria bacterium 23S ribosomal RNA". It matches the Rfam family "Bacterial large subunit ribosomal RNA". The record is from RNAcentral. Lineage: Bacteria; Bacillati; Actinomycetota.